GUUUCCGUCCCCUUGCGGGGAAAAGGUAGAAGCUAAC
Non-coding RNA from Planktothrix serta PCC 8927, 37 nucleotides. NCBI's taxonomy places the organism in Bacteria, Bacillati, Cyanobacteriota, Cyanophyceae, Oscillatoriales, Microcoleaceae. The record is from Rfam.